AGAUUGUGCGACCUGACCCUGGCCAACGGG
This 30-nucleotide non-coding RNA is filed under the name Homo sapiens (human). Lineage: Eukaryota; Metazoa; Chordata; Mammalia; Primates; Hominidae. The record is from RNAcentral.